CAUGUGGUUUAAUUCGAUGCAACGCGAAGAACCUUACCUGGGCUUGACAUCCCGGGAAUCCCUUGGAAACAAGGGAGUGCCCUUCGGGGAACCUGGAGACAGGUGCUGCAUGGCUGUCGUCAGCUCGUGUCGUGAGAUGUAGGGUUAAGUCCCGCAACGAGCGCAACCCUUGUCUUUAAUUGCCAUCAUUGAGUUGGGCACUUUAAAGAGACUGCCGGUGUUAAACCGGAGGAAGGUGGGGAUGACGUCAAGUCCUCAUGGCCCUUAUAGGUGGGGCUACACACGUCAUACAAUGGAUGGUACAAAGGGUCGCCAACCCGCGAGGGGGGAGCCAAUCCCAUAAAGCCAUUCGUAGUCCGGAUCGCAGUCUGCAACUCGACUGCGUGAAGUCGGAAUCGCUAGUAAUCGUGGAUCAGAAUGUCACGGUGAAUACGUUCCCGGGUCUU
RNAcentral lists this ribosomal RNA (446 nucleotides) under uncultured Smithella sp. RNAcentral's name for it is "bacterial SSU rRNA". It matches the Rfam family "Bacterial small subunit ribosomal RNA", at positions 938 to 1382 of the family's 1533-position model. The record is from RNAcentral. Lineage: Bacteria; Pseudomonadati; Thermodesulfobacteriota; Syntrophia; Syntrophales; Smithellaceae.